RNAcentral lists this ribosomal RNA (253 nucleotides) under uncultured bacterium. RNAcentral's name for it is "partial 16S ribosomal RNA". It matches the Rfam family "Bacterial small subunit ribosomal RNA", at positions 524 to 776 of the family's 1533-position model. The record is from RNAcentral.
UACAGAGGUCUCAAGCGUUGUUCGGAUUCAUUGGGCGUAAAGGGUGUGUAGGUGGCGCCGUAAGUCGGGUGUGAAAUUUCGGAGCUUAACUCCGAAACUGCAUUUGAUACUGCGGUGCUUGAGGACUGGAGAGGAGACUGGAAUUUACGGUGUAGCAGUGAAAUGCGUAGAUAUCGUAAGGAAGACCAGUGGCGAAGGCGGGUCUCUGGACAGUUCCUGACACUGAGACACGAAGGCCAGGGGAGCAAACGGG